Molecule: small RNA, 67 nt
Filed under: uncultured Rhizobium sp.
Lineage: Bacteria; Pseudomonadati; Pseudomonadota; Alphaproteobacteria; Hyphomicrobiales; Rhizobiaceae
Description: S-element
Rfam family: S-element
About the family: This family represents a group of S-elements from p42d and related plasmids.
Source: RNAcentral
AGUCAAGUGUUUUGGCACCGUUUUGGUGAGCGGAGUUCUUUUGCCUGAGUCCAGGUGAAGAAAGAUG